Molecule: non-coding RNA, 111 nt
Organism: Acanthosepion pharaonis
Lineage: Eukaryota; Metazoa; Mollusca; Cephalopoda; Sepiida; Sepiidae
Source: the annotation of a GenBank genome assembly
UUAUGGCCACAUCACGUUGAAACACCGGUUCACCUGAGAUCACCAAAGUCAAGCAAGAACGAGCCUGGUCAGUAGGUAUAUGAGUGACUGCUUGGGAAUACCAGGUGCUCC